UAUAAACCCACAACCUGUUGUAAAGUCACAUUUACAGCUAAAUAACACAAUUUCAUAAAAUACGGUAGAAGAGCUGAUGAGGGUUAAGAAAAUUCACUGUGAUGAGAAUAUAUGCAAAUUCUUUUAAAUAAAAAUACCAUACAAAACCUGCUACUAGCUUUAAUCUUAAUUAUAAAUUGUUGUUGCUGUUGUUUUUUGUUUUUCAUUUCAGUUAACUUACAAAUUAUUUUGGGUGGGAAUUUUACUGAACCUGGUUUAUUAAUGAACUCUGCAUUUUUAUCAUGUUAUUAAGUUGUAAAUAUGUCUUUAUUACAGGUUGUGCAGUUCAGACAUGUAGUUACACUCAUCUACCUGCAUAUUGUUAUUAGAAUUAUAUCAUAAUUAAUAUUUGUAUCUAUUCCUACUGUAUAAUUGAUCUUCUGUAGUCACUCUGUUUAUUACACUGUAAUCAGCGCUGUGUAAAAUAAAGUGUUUCUGUUACCAUUUACACCCUGUUCAGAUGUAGAAUCUGUCUCCCUCUAUAGAAAAUCAGACAUCAGAGCAGAAUCAGAGCCGGUCAGGAGCUGAAGACUCUCAGUCAGGUCACACACCACUUCAGGCUGGAAGUGAAAAUGUUUAUGCCGCUGUGGAUCAGACAGAUACGAGUGGAACAGGUGAAGCUGCAGCUGAGAGCAGAGAAGUCACUUACGCACAGGUCACGAAGAAAAAGAAGACAAACAGGAACAAUGGUGCUGAUGCUGAACCUGGUGUUACCGAUGUGACUUAUGCUGAGAUUGAACUAAAACCAAUGAUAAAAACAAAGAGAAUGAAAGAAAAUGCCAGUGUGGGUGAUGAUACUGUCUACUCAGAGCUGAAGCACAGCAUGGAGUGAGACAUGUGUCUGUGUACACUGAUGAAGCUACAGUUAUCACACAGACAGCUGGAAAACUGGGAUUUGUGUUUGUCUUCUGUUUUUCCUAAAAUGCUCAGAAAGUAGAAUCUGCUCAUCUACUUCCUGAACACAGGAACAUUGCUUAUUAUUUUUUUUUCUUUUACUGCUUUUCUAUUUCUACUUAUUCUGUUCAACGUGCACAAAUACAAUUAAUUUAAUAUACAUGUGGCUCAUUUGCGCAUUAAUAAUAAUAAUAAUAAUAAUAAUAAUAAUAAUAAUAAUAAUAAUAAUAAUACAGUUAAUUUUUAUUUAUGUACUUUCAAAUGGAUACAUUUAAAAGUAAAAGAAAAAUAAAAUAUGUAUUUUAUACAAAAAAAAAACAUUUGUAUAAAAUGAUUAUAUUUUUUUUUUUUUCCAAUUUAAAGCAUUAUUUAAGGUGAAACACGACACUCUAAAAUACUUAUUUUUCUGUUCCUCAUAUACUAAUCCCAUUGAGUGUACAUUGAUAAUUAAUUUAAUACACAUGUGGCUCAUUACAUUUAUUUCUUUUAAUCAUAAAUUUACACGUCAGUGCUUUUGGUUGGUUUUUGGUUGGAUACGAACACUUGGUAUCGGGUUCUGCACAUGCCAAAGAAGAAGAAACCUGAGUGAAGUGUGUAAGGCUUGUCACCGUUUUCUUACACAAAGUAAGUUAUUCUUGUUCAUGUACAAAACUUCACAGAGGAAAUAAUUAAUUAAGUUGAAAGUAAAGUUGGGUCGGAUGAAUAUUUUUAUUUUUGGUUUUGUAAAAUGCUGUCCUGGAGCACUGCUGCCACACACACACACACACACACACACCUUUUUAAAUACAUGUUGCUUUAGAUUUUUUUUUUCUCUUUAGAUCUUGUAUUUUUAUAAACAUUUUUAUAUUGUUCACAUUUACACCUUUACAAAUGACCUGAUGCUUUGUAAGUUGUCUCACCGCGUUCAUAAAUGUCACCUGAAAUGACUUUGUGGUUUAAACAGUGUUUGUAUAAUAAAAGGUUUAAUGCAUGCAUGAGGUACGAGACAGAAAGGAUGCUUACCUUAGAGAACUCGUUUUGUAAUUCAGCAAUGUUUAGAUAAAAUAUAAAUAAAAAUUUACAAGUCUGAAUGAAAUGUGUGUUAUCCAUGCCAUUAAAACAAAUAAAACUUUCCUUAUUACAUAUGUAUUUAUGUCUUUCCAUUCUUUUUGGUGUUUAUUUUAGACAGGCCAGACAGUGAGGUUGAUAGCAGUCAGGCAGGGCAGCAGCUUUCAGCAGGUUGUCCACAUUUAUAGCCAGACUACUGUAAAUGUGUUUAUAUUGUAUUGUAAUUCACAGUUCAAACAAACAGCUGCCUGAGAAACAUCUGCAUUAAAUAUACAUUUGUGCUGAAAGGCUUUUAACAGAGUAAUAACCACAACACUGACAGUAACCAGUAACAGAACAAGAAG
Ictalurus punctatus (channel catfish) is the source of this 2324-nucleotide long non-coding RNA. RefSeq lists it as uncharacterized. The transcript is spliced from 6 exons. NCBI's taxonomy places the organism in Eukaryota, Metazoa, Chordata, Actinopteri, Siluriformes, Ictaluridae. The record is from RefSeq and is a predicted model, not a curated record.